AACGAACGCUGGCGGCAUGCCUAACACAUGCAAGUCGAACGAGACCUUCGGGUCUAGUGGCGCACGGGUGCGUAACGCGUGGGAACCUGCCCUUAGGUUCGGAAUAACUCCCCGAAAGGGGUGCUAAUACCGGAUAAUGUCUUCGGACCAAAGAUUUAUCGCCUUUGGAUGGGCCCGCGUUGGAUUAGCUAGUUGGUAGGGUAAAAGCCUACCAAGGCGACGAUCCAUAGCUGGUCUGAGAGGAUGAUCAGCCACAUUGGGACUGAGACACGGCCCAGACUCCUACGGGAAGCAGCAGUGGGGAAUAUUGGACAAUGGGCGAAAGCCUGAUCCAGCAAUGCCGCGUGAGUGAUGAAGGCCUUAGGGUUGUAAAGCUCUUUUACCCGGGAUGAUAAUGACAGUACCGGGAGAAUAAGCUCCGGCUAACUCCGUG
This 433-nucleotide ribosomal RNA is filed under the name uncultured bacterium. RNAcentral's name for it is "partial 16S ribosomal RNA". It matches the Rfam family "Bacterial small subunit ribosomal RNA", at positions 29 to 507 of the family's 1533-position model. The record is from RNAcentral.